AUUGAACGCUGGCGGCAUGCUUUACGCAUGCAAGUCGAACGGCAGCGCGGGCUUCGCCCUGGCUGCGAGGGGCGAACGGGCGAGUAAUGCAGCGGAACGUGCCCAGUAGUGGGGGAGAGCCCGGCGAAAGCCGGAUUAAUACCGCAAACGACCUGAGGGUGAAAGCGGGGGACCGAAAGGCCUCCCGCCAUUGGAGCGGCCGAUGUCGGAUUAGCUAGUUGGUGGGGUAAAGGCUUACCAAGGCGACGAUCCGUAGCUGGUCUGAGAGGACGACCAGCCACACUGGGACUGAGACACGGCCCAGACUCCUACGGGAGGCAGCAGUGGGGAAUUUUGGACAAUGGGGGCAACCCUGAUCCAGCCAUGCCGCGUGCGGGAAGAAGGCCUUCGGGUUGUAAACCGCUUUUGUUCGGGAAGAAAUCCUCUGGGCUAAUACCCCGGGGGGAUGACGGUACCGGAAGAAUAAGCACCGGCUAACUACGUG
RNAcentral lists this ribosomal RNA (484 nucleotides) under uncultured bacterium. RNAcentral's name for it is "partial 16S ribosomal RNA". It matches the Rfam family "Bacterial small subunit ribosomal RNA", at positions 28 to 507 of the family's 1533-position model. The record is from RNAcentral.